Molecule: unclassified non-coding RNA, 352 nt
Filed under: soil metagenome
Description: partial contains 5.8S ribosomal RNA, internal transcribed spacer 2, and large subunit ribosomal RNA
Rfam family: 5.8S ribosomal RNA (bases 1-120)
Source: RNAcentral
GAUGAAGAACGCAGCGAAAUGCGACAAGUAAUGUGAAUUGCAGAAUUCCGUGAAUCAUCGAAUCUUUGAACGCACAUUGCGCCCGCCAGUAUUCUGGCGGGCAUGCCUGUCCGAGCGUCAUUUCAACCCUCGAACCCCUCCGGGGGGUCGGCGUUGGGGAUCGGCCCUUUCACCGGGUGCCGGCCCCUAAAUACAGUGGCGGUCUCGCCGCAGCCUCUCAUGCGCAGUAGUUUGCACACUCGCACCGGGAGCGCGGCGCGUCCACGUCCGUAAAACACCCCAACUUCUGAAAUGUUGACCUCGGAUCAGGUAGGAAUACCCGCUGAACUUAAGCAUAUCAAUAAGCGGAGGA